GAAAGAAAAAAGCCCGCUACCUACUUCUCCUGACUAGAGUAGAGGGGCCGAAAGAGAGGUCAAUUUCGGGAGGAGAGGUGUCCUGAUACCCUCCUCUUGAAAGAGUUCAAGUCGUAGGCAGGAGGAAAUACAGAUGAAGGAAGAUUGUUCCAGAGUUUACCAGCGUGAGGGAUGAAAGAGUGAAGAUGCUGGUUAACUCUUGCAUAAGGGGUUUGGACAGUAUAGGGAUGAAAGAGUGAAGAUGCUGGUUAACUCUUGCAUAAGGGGUUUGGACAGUAUAGGGAUGAAAGAGUGAAGAUGCUGGUUAACUCUUGCAUAAGGGGUUUGGACAGUAAAGGGAUGAAAGAGUGAAGAUGCUGGUUAACUCUUGCAUAAGGGGUUUGGACAGUAUAGGGAUGAAAGAGUGAAGAUGCUGGUUAACUCUUGCAUAAGGGGUUUGGACAGUAUAGGGAUGAAAGAGUGAAGAUGCUGGUUAACUCUUGCAUAAGGGAUUUGGACAGUAUAGGGAUGAAAGAGUGAAGAUGCUGGUUAACUCUUGCAUAAGGGGUUU
Eriocheir sinensis (Chinese mitten crab) is the source of this 550-nucleotide long non-coding RNA. RefSeq lists it as uncharacterized. The transcript is spliced from 3 exons. Lineage: Eukaryota; Metazoa; Arthropoda; Malacostraca; Decapoda; Varunidae. The record is from RefSeq and is a predicted model, not a curated record.